GUGGGGAAUAUUGGACAAUGGGCGCAAGCCUGAUCCAGCAAUGCCGCGUGCAGGAAGAAGGCCUUCGGGUUGUAAACUGCUUUUGUACGGAACGAAACGGUCCGGGUUAAUACCCUGGGCUAAUGACGGUACCGUAAGAAUAAGCACCGGCUAACUACGUGCCAGCAGCCGCGGUAAUACGUAGGGUGCAAGCGUUAAUCGGAAUUACUGGGCGUAAAGCGUGCGCAGGCGGGUUUGUAAGACAGGCGUGAAAUCCCCGGGCUCAACCUGGGAAUUGCGCUUGUGACUGCAAGGCUGGAGUGCGGCAGAGGGGGAUGGAAUUCCGCGUGUAGCAGUGAAAUGCGUAGAUAUGCGGAGGAACACCGAUGGCGAAGGCAAUCCCCUGGGCCUGCACUGACGCUCAUGCACGAAAGCGUGGGGAGCAAACAGGAUUAGAAACCCUUGUAGUCC
This 450-nucleotide ribosomal RNA is filed under the name uncultured bacterium. RNAcentral's name for it is "partial 16S ribosomal RNA". It matches the Rfam family "Bacterial small subunit ribosomal RNA", at positions 354 to 796 of the family's 1533-position model. The record is from RNAcentral.